Molecule: small nuclear RNA, 105 nt
Organism: Nannospalax galili (Upper Galilee mountains blind mole rat)
Lineage: Eukaryota; Metazoa; Chordata; Mammalia; Rodentia; Spalacidae
Source: Ensembl
GGGCUCUCUUCGGCAGCACAUAACAUUAAAAUUGGAAUGAUACAGAGAUUAGCAUGGCCCCUAUGCCAGGAUAACAUGCAAAUUCAUGAAGUGUUCCAUAUUUUU